AUGAGUAAAACUCACUGUGGUCACUACACCAGUGUUGUAUUUCACGUGCAUUUGUUGCUGCCUGAAAGUAAGUAUCAGUUAUUAAUUUCGUCCCCGUUGAGCGUUCGCUUAAAUUGGUGUCAUCAGAAUGAUUUUGAAGCUGAUAUGUCAAGCUGCGAAAACGGGGCGGAGCCGCGUGUGAUGAUGUCAGCGAAGGGGGCGGAGUCGGUCUGCUGCAGUCGUUCUGAACGCCAGCUCAACACUGGAGUCCUGUGGACCUGCGGACAUCACACACACACACACACACACACACACACACACACACACACCACUGCUGAGCUGAUGCAUGUAAGACUGCAACAAUAUGAUAUGCAAGCAUGA
This is a long non-coding RNA of Cyprinus carpio carpio, 360 nucleotides long. The record is from Ensembl. Lineage: Eukaryota; Metazoa; Chordata; Actinopteri; Cypriniformes; Cyprinidae.